Molecule: ribosomal RNA, 306 nt
Filed under: Triticum aestivum (bread wheat)
Lineage: Eukaryota; Viridiplantae; Streptophyta; Magnoliopsida; Poales; Poaceae
Description: partial small subunit ribosomal RNA
Source: RNAcentral
UUUAAUAAAAUUUUGCUUUCAUCAGAGAAAGAAGGCGGCAAUGAUAGACCUAAUGCAAUGAUGAGAGAUUUUCGUAAUUGUUUAGGAGGGUGCGACUUCGAGGAUACGGGUUGUUUUGGUGAUCCUUUCAUUUGGACGAGAGGUAACACUUGGGAGAGACUUGAACGUGUGGUUUGCAAUGUGGAUUGGGCGAAUAAAUUCCCUCAGGCUGCGAUAAUAAACACGUUCAUUCUGAUCAUCAUCCUCUCGUCAUGGAUACUGAAUAUUUUGAUGGCAAUACUUUCAAUAGUCCAAGGGGACGAAUGA